Molecule: ribosomal RNA, 254 nt
Filed under: uncultured bacterium
Lineage: Bacteria
Description: partial 16S ribosomal RNA
Rfam family: Bacterial small subunit ribosomal RNA
Source: RNAcentral
UACGAAGGGGGCUAGCGUUGCUCGGAAUCACUGGGCGUAAAGGGUGCGUAGGCGGGUUUUUAAGUCAGGGGUGAAAUCCUGGAGCUCAACUCCAGAACUGCCUUUGAUACUGAAGAUCUUGAGUCCGGGAGAGGUGAGUGGAGCUGCGAGUGUAGAGGUGAAAUUCGUAGAUAUUCGGAAGAACACCAGUGGCGAAGGCGGCUCACUGGCCCGUUACCGACGCUCAGGCGCGACAGCGUGGGGAGCAAAGCAGG